Molecule: ribosomal RNA, 440 nt
Filed under: uncultured bacterium
Lineage: Bacteria
Description: partial 16S ribosomal RNA
Rfam family: Bacterial small subunit ribosomal RNA
Source: RNAcentral
CCUACGGGAGGCAGCAGUGGGGGAUAUUGCACAAUGGGCGCAAGUCUGAUGCAGCGACGUCGCGUGAGCGAAGAAGUAUCUCGGUAUGUAAAGCUCUAUUAGUAGGGAAGUAAAUGACGGUACCUGACUAAGAAGCUCCGGCUAAAUCCGUGACAGCAGCCGCGGUACUACGUAUGGAGCAAGCGUUAUCCGGAGUUACUGGGUGUAAAGGGAGCGUAGGCGGCUUUGUAAGUCUGAUGUGAAAAUUUGAGGCUCAACCCCAAAGUUGCAUUGGAAACUGGAAGGCUUGAGUGCCGGAGAGGCAGGCGGAAUUCGUGGUGUAGCGGUGAAAUGCGUAGAUAUUAGGAAGAACACCAGUGGCGAAGGCAGCCUGCUGGACGGUAACUGACGCUGAGGCUCGAAAGCGUGGGGAGCAAACAGGAUUAGAUACCCGUGUAGUC